UGUUUCAUAAAUGUUUUGUUUGUCAACAUGCCUCAAGAAAUAAAAGAAAAAGGGAUUCAGAAGGGAACAGUGGAUGUACAUCUACAAUUGAUAUUAAAAUUUAAAAAAAUAAUAAAGCAACACGGAAAAAUGAUCAAUUUUUAAAAGAAAACCAACCUUUGGCAGAUUUGCCAGAGAUGACGGCCAAUGCUAGACUAAAUCCAACGUAUAAUAUGCUGAAAAAAUGUUUAUAACAGAUGGAGAAAUGAUAAUUUUGGAUAGUGUUAAAAGAUUAAAGGAGAAAAUAACAUAUUACACCGAAAAACGUAUAACAAUUUAUACAACAGAUGAAGAUCAACAUCCUUGGGCAAUUUUGGUGGUUACGCCUAUAAUGAAGAAGUGUCAAGAACUGGUUUACUCUAGAGAAGUUAUUUUUAUAGAUACCACUUACAGUAUAGAUGCUAAUCAUUCUUCUCUAUCAUUUUGACAGCUUCUAAAGCUGGUGCUCUUCCCUUAUGUAUGCUAGGUCAUGAGGAGCAAACUGAGGAAAGUUAUACAAAAGCUUUUCUAUUACUGAAAAGCUCUAACAACAAACCUUUUGGUACAUGUGAGCAUCCAUAUAGCUUUCAUGACCGACCACUCAGCUGGAGAAAAAAAUGCAUUGAAAACGGUCUGGCCAGGGUCACGACAAUUGCUAUGCCAUUUUCAUGUUGCCCAGGCAGAAUGGCGUUGGUUAAUGUCCGCUAAAAACGGAAUUCCUGGAGAUAUAAGGCAAACUUACAUGAAGGCCUUUAAAAAAGUACAAUAUUAUAUCAUAUUUCAACUUGUCACCAAAUAAGUUUUCCUAUGACUACCAGUUUUCAUCAAAAUGGAAACUGUUUGAUUUAUUAUUAUCAUAUUGAUAAUUUUGGCCUUUUAUAAAAGUGCAAAAGAAUGAGUAAUAUCAUGAAGCAAAGUUCGAUAACAUGUGUGUAG
This 954-nucleotide long non-coding RNA is filed under the name Anthonomus grandis grandis. Its description in RNAcentral is "uncharacterized LOC126746529". The record is from RNAcentral. Lineage: Eukaryota; Metazoa; Arthropoda; Insecta; Coleoptera; Curculionidae.